UUAAGUUCACCUACCAUAACAUGAAGUACUUAGCUUCAUAAUUGAUGAUGGUAUUAUGUAGUGUUUCACUAACUUAAAUAAUGAAAGUGUUUUGGUAUCAUCAAAUUUAUGUAUUCACUUAUAACUUAAUUUAUGAAUAUGUACUAUAUUACGUACUGGUGCAGGUUUUUACUUCCAAGUAUUCCUAAACAUGUCUCAAUCCAAAUUAUACCUAAUUAACAGCUAAGUAUGAUGUAUUAUGGGAUAAUGUAGGAGGAAAUAUCGAAAAGUCUGUUUCCAGCAUAUGAAGUUUGACCCAUCUGUUAAUGCUUUUAGAAAAUCUGCUUGUGGAUAUUUUAACAGUUGUUAUUGCCACAUGAC
RNAcentral lists this long non-coding RNA (360 nucleotides) under Nicotiana benthamiana. RNAcentral describes it as "long non-coding RNA (NBEN_LNC030333)". The record is from RNAcentral. Lineage: Eukaryota; Viridiplantae; Streptophyta; Magnoliopsida; Solanales; Solanaceae.